GAAAGCUCAAAAUAUGGUUUUCUCUUAUUCUUGUAGAGAGUUCUAUUUUUAUCUUGGCAUUGAGUCGAGAAAGAAGCUAGCAAUGAAAAUUUUGUGGUUUCGAAGUGUAAAGAAAAACCAGUUUCAGAAGUGGGGAAAGAGAAUUGCAAGCACUGAGUCUGCGAUUACACUUGGUAAUGCAAAAGGUCGAGUAUCAUUUAGUUGUUGCUGUGGGUCGUAUGUCUUGAUCAGGCAACUUGUAUUAAAGCUCAGGACAAAAUGGAAACAAGCUUUGGGGUGGCACUGGCAAAGGAGCAGUGUUCAAUACAGCUAUGCCUAUGAUAUUUACAGCUAUUCUCUUAACUUUGAUGAUGGUCUCUACCAUGGCCAUCUCCCAUCAAAGGGUUCCCAAUGAAAGUUUGAUCUCCUUUUCAGCAAUAAGUGAUCUGGUUAUUAUCACUUGGUUCACGAGUUCAUUUGUCAUAUAAACAAAAGUUUUCUCAAGAUACUGCAGUGGGUAUUUUCUUAAUCAAUCUGUUGCCCAUUACUUUGAGUCAUAUAUAGUUUCAAUAAUGUUACUUUGCUUUACUGUAAGAGUUUUUGAUGGCUUGUUGUAUAUCAUCUGAUGAGCCAUGUCGUUUUAAUUUCAAGCACUUUGGAGAACAUUCUGUACUUGUUUUCAAUUGUUCUUCAUUCCUUGCUGUUGUUCUUUGUUUAAAGAUUUUGUUUAUAGAAAUGGAUUCCUGAUCCAGUUCUGUAUUUUGUUGCACCAUUUCCUCAUCCUUGGCUGAGCUUAACAAUAGCUAUCCUAUAUAAUAUCACGGUG
RNAcentral lists this unclassified non-coding RNA (805 nucleotides) under Hevea brasiliensis (rubber tree). The record is from RNAcentral. Lineage: Eukaryota; Viridiplantae; Streptophyta; Magnoliopsida; Malpighiales; Euphorbiaceae.